UACGGGGGGGGCAAGCGUUGUUCGGAGUUACUGGGCGUAAAGGGCUCGUAGGCGGCCAACUAAGUCAGACGUGAAAUCCCUCGGCUUAACCGGGGAACUGCGUCUGAUACUGGAUGGCUGGAGUGUGGGAGAGGGAUGCGGAAUUCCAGGUGUAGCGGUGAAAUGCGUAGAUAUCUGGAGGAACACCGGUGGCGAAGGCGGCAUCCUGGACCAUUACUGACACUGAAAAGCGAAAGCCAGGGGAGCAAACGGG
This 253-nucleotide ribosomal RNA is filed under the name uncultured bacterium. RNAcentral describes it as "partial 16S ribosomal RNA". It matches the Rfam family "Bacterial small subunit ribosomal RNA", at positions 524 to 776 of the family's 1533-position model. The record is from RNAcentral.